This is a small nuclear RNA of Cynocephalus volans (Philippine flying lemur), 184 nucleotides long. RefSeq annotates it as U2 spliceosomal RNA. Lineage: Eukaryota; Metazoa; Chordata; Mammalia; Dermoptera; Cynocephalidae. The transcript has a single exon. The record is from RefSeq and is a predicted model, not a curated record.
AUCGCUUCUUGGCCUGUUUGGCUGAGAUCAAGUGGAGUAACUGUUCUUAUCAGUUUAAUAUCUGGCAUGCCCUCAAUUUGAGUAUGUAAUAGAAGAUUUUUGGUACAAGGAGAUGGAGUAUGGAGCUUGCUCUAUUCACUCCAUGCAGUCACCUGUUAUUGCCCCUUUGGGGGUAGCUCUCAGU